RNAcentral lists this transfer RNA (68 nucleotides) under Marmota monax (woodchuck). RNAcentral describes it as "tRNA.Gly". Lineage: Eukaryota; Metazoa; Chordata; Mammalia; Rodentia; Sciuridae. The record is from RNAcentral.
GGAUUGUGGCUCAGUGGUAGAGCACUCAUGUACCAUGCGCAAGGCCUUGGGUUCGAUCCUCAGCACCA